This 241-nucleotide ribosomal RNA is filed under the name Pneumocystis jirovecii. RNAcentral's name for it is "partial large subunit ribosomal RNA". It matches the Rfam family "Bacterial large subunit ribosomal RNA", at positions 831 to 1065 of the family's 2925-position model. Lineage: Eukaryota; Fungi; Ascomycota; Pneumocystomycetes; Pneumocystales; Pneumocystaceae. The record is from RNAcentral.
AAUCGGACUAGGAUAUAGCUGGUUUUCUGCGAAAAUUGUUUUGGCAAAUUGUUUAUUCCUCUUAAAAAUAGUAGGUAUAGCACUGAAUAUCUCGAGGGAGUAUGAAAAUAUUUAUCUCAGAUAUUUAAUCUCAAAAUAACUAUUUCUUAAAAUAAAUAAUCAGACUAUGUGCGAUAAGGUAGAUAGUCGAAAGGGAAACAGCCCAGAACAGUAAUUAAAGCUCCCCAAUUAAUAUUAAGUG